RNAcentral lists this ribosomal RNA (171 nucleotides) under Rhizophydiales sp. Its description in RNAcentral is "partial small subunit ribosomal RNA". It matches the Rfam family "Eukaryotic small subunit ribosomal RNA", at positions 1352 to 1544 of the family's 1831-position model. Lineage: Eukaryota; Fungi; Chytridiomycota; Chytridiomycetes; Rhizophydiales. The record is from RNAcentral.
UAAAUAGUUACGAUAACUUCGGUUGUUGAUUAACUUCUUAGAGGGACUAUGGAUUUUUAAUCCAUGGAAGUUUGAGGCAAUAACAGGUCUGUGAUGCCCUUAGAAGUUCUGGGCCGCACGCGCGCUACACUGAUGAAGGCAACAAGUAAUUCACCUUGGCCGGAAGGUCUG